GAGAAAAAACCUAGACGCUUUCAUAGUACUUGGCACAUGAUAAAUCUGCCUUAAGACACAGUAAUGGCGAUGACUGCAAGCCCAGUGUGUCAAGUUCAUCCACACAUCUGAGUGAGCUCUGGGCUAAUGCUAUGGAAAAAGUUAAAAGUUGAAUAUGAUACAAUCUCUCCUGUAUCAUCUCCCUGGGAGACAAGAUGCAGGGCCAGGGGUCAGGGGUCAUAUCACAAGAGAUCUUCAAGUCAAACCAAGGAGUCUGAACUUUAUCUUGAUGGAAACUGGGAGCUGUGGAAGUAAAGGUAAAAGUUUUAGUAGAGCUGAGGGAAUGGAAGCCUGUGGGGACAGGAGACAUUACUUCCUCGAUGCCAAACCACCUGUCAUCUUACUGGCUCCUUACGUCCUGGCAGAAAGAGAGACUGAGGGACCACAAGAGACGGAGAUAGAGGCAGGGAGAACUGAGAAGGGAGGAAGCUGAGUUUGGGCUUCCAGUGACAGCGCUCCUUUUCCUGCUCUCUCUGCCUGCCUGUCUGAGAGACUGGCAGAGCCCCCAGCCCAUUCUAAACUAUCCCAGGCAAGGUUGCUGAAUAAUUCCCACCACCUCCAAACGGCACUCCACGUGGCAGCCAAAGCCUGCUGCCAAGAGGCAAGUGGCCAAGAUUCCUUUCCAACAGAGACGUCCCCUUGCCAAUCAGAAUGAGGCCGGCACACGUCCCAGAAAAUCGGACUGUUGCUGUCCCAUCAAGCCAGAUGACACCAUCAGGACUUCCUGACCCUGACCACUGUCUAACCCUUGUCCCCAAAGCCUCCCAGCAAGGCAUAAGGUCCACACCACAAGGAGCAAACACCUGCCUCCUCCACAGAUCCACCUGAUGAGAGCUCAGCCUCUGGAGUCAAAACGCAUGGGUUCAAAGCCCAGCCUCUCGAAUGAGCAGCUAUGCGACACAGGGCAAGUCACAACCUCUCUGAGCCCCAUCUGCAACCACACAAUAGGGUUCAUAACAGUUUCUACCUCAUAGAAUUGUUAGGGGAAUUAAAUGAGAUCAUAUACUAGAAGUGAUUGCCCAGUACCUAGUGUUCAGUCAGUGUUCAGUAAAUGCUCAAAUUCUAUAAGAUACCCAAAGAUAUCUCAGCUAACUGACAAUAUCAGCUAUCCAGAAUGAGGCUGGGGACCAGAGAAGCAGCAGAAAAGUCCCCCAAGCAGUUAAAGUAAAUGUAAGAGUCAACACAUGGAAAGUCCAAUCAUGAAAACCAUUUUAUAUGAUAUUAGUAAUACUGUAGUCCUGUAAUUAAUAUAUAGUAAUACAGUAAUUAGUAACCACCAGUAGCAAGCAUUGGGCCCAGCAAAUUAAAUACAUCUUGUCAUUUAACCAGUUAUGUGCUAGUAAACAGUGGUGUGCUUAAAAACCAGCUUUCUAGGAAAAAAGGCAAAGUCCAGAUGUGUUCCAUGGUGUAAAUUCUCCCAGCAUGUUCAGUUUCAAGCUCCCACUGUGAGGUCACCACCCCUGGAGCUGCAGGGAGGCUAAUGGUCCUCACCAGCCAGCUCCAGUCACCACUGCAUUUACCAUCCCUAUGUCCCUAUUAGGUUAUAUGGUGAGAAGCAGCACAAGGAUCACAUGCAGGCAGUGGAAGGAUGCACCUUCUCCCCACUCCAGACAGCUUGAACCACAUGGUUUUUUUUUUGUUUUUUUUUUUUGCGGUACGCGGGCCUCUCACUGUUGUGGCCUCUCCUGUUGCGGAGCACAGGCUCCAGACGCGCAGGCUCAGUGGCCAUGGCUCACCGGCCCAGCCGCUCCGCGGCAUGUGGGAUCUUCCCGGACCGGGGCACGAACCCGUGUCCCCUGCAUCGGCAGGCGGACUCUCAACCACUGCGCCACCAGGGAAGCCCCACAUGCUUUUUUAAUAAAUAGCCAAUAGGCCCAUAUCCCCCAUGUCCUCACCUCCCUAAAUAGCCCCUUAGGACAUAGGGGCCCUGUUGGCAGCGCCUGUGCUUCCCUCUGCUUCUCAAACUUGAAUGUGCACAAGAAUCAUGUGGGGACUUGUCAAAGGUCAGAUUCUGAUUCCAGGUCCAGCAUUGGGCCAUGUCCCUGCAUCACUAACAGGAUUCAGGCGACACCGAUGCUAUCACUCCACGGCCAACCACACUGUAAGUAGUGAAGGUCUGAAUUCCAAAUGUUCAAAUCCCCAGGCUGCUUGUGGGACCCCCGAUACUCCUCUGCGUCUCAAGGUUUUGUAAAUCUUUGAAGCGAUUAUAGCCUAACCACAAACACCUUGGAGUUUGCCCAAUUCACGUGGCUCCUGCAUGGUCACUUCUGUGAUUAGCUUAUUCUAACUCUUAUUCAACAAACACAAGUCCUCACUCUAUACCAGGCCCGGGAUGGUGUUGGGAAUAUGAAAAGACCCAGUCUCUGCCUCAGGGAGCUGACGGACUCCUUCAUUUGGCAGGAAAGUGCCUACUACAUCCUUCUGCUGGGUUUCCUGCAGCCAUGCCUAUGGGGCUGUGCUGGCAUUAACUGAUGGGGCGCCUUCAGUGCUCUGGCUCAAGGCCUCAGAGCCAGGGAAAGUUUGUU
This is a long non-coding RNA of Orcinus orca (killer whale), 2564 nucleotides long. RefSeq lists it as uncharacterized. The record is from RefSeq and is a predicted model, not a curated record. Lineage: Eukaryota; Metazoa; Chordata; Mammalia; Artiodactyla; Delphinidae. The transcript is spliced from 3 exons.